Molecule: ribosomal RNA, 393 nt
Filed under: uncultured bacterium
Lineage: Bacteria
Description: partial 16S ribosomal RNA
Rfam family: Bacterial small subunit ribosomal RNA
Source: RNAcentral
AUACGGAGGAUGCAAGCGUUAUCCGGAUUUAUUGGGUUUAAAGGGUGCGUAGGCGGGACUGUAAGUCAGGGGUGAAAUACUGCAGCUUAACUGUAGCAUUGCCUUUGAAACUGCCGUUCUUGAGUACAGUUGAGGUAGGCGGAAUGUGGUGUGUAGCGGUGAAAUGCAUAGAUAUACCACAGAACGCCGAUUGCGAAGGCAGCUUACUAAGCUGUUACUGACGCUGAGGCACGAAAGCGUGGGGAUCAAACAGGAUUAGAUACCCUGGUAGUCCACGCUGUAAACGAUGAUUACUGGUUGUUAGCGAUAUAUAGCUAGUGACUGAGCGAAAGCAUUAAGUAAUCCACCUGGGGAGUACGGCCGCAAGGUUGAAACUCAAAUGAAUUGGCGGGG